GGCACCGGCUAGUGGGGCUCACUGAAGGCUCAACCUUCACCUGAUGGGCCUGGCUCAGCAACCAAGGUGGGGAGCAGAGAACCCCAGAUGGAGACGGUCAUGGCAGCUAGCAGAGACGGGAAGGGGUGGGCUGUGGAGCUGAUGUCCACAGGCAGAGAAGCAACCAGGGGAUGCAAGGGUGUCCAGCCCUUGUCAAGCCCAGACUGAAAGCUACUGCGUGGGACUCCUCGCAGCACAGCUCACCUGGCCUCAAUGUCAGACAGAACAGGUCGACAUUGUGCUGCUGUCCGAGGCCUCAAGGAUCAUUCUUCUGACAACCAGCCUAUGGCAGGACAGUCUUGGCACUGACCAAAAAUUCCCUCCCUUCUGCUGUGGUCUUGCUCCACCCCACCUCCCUGUCAUGGUCAUUGAAUGUGUCUAGAGCAGACUCCUCAGGUACUGGGCAGGGACAGGACUUGAGCCCUAUACAGCUGUCCUCCUCCCCUUCCCCCCAGAGCUCCACCCCUUCCUGCACACUCUCAACCCAUGUCAGCCGCCUGGGCUUUCCUGCUGCUGGUUCCACGUCUCCACUGGCAGCUCCAUCCUGCUCCUCUCACUUACCCCUCAGCCCAGUCGCUGUGUGAUCCCGGAGUUCCAGCACAGCCCCCAUGCUGGAGGAGGACUCUAGCAUUGCGCACAGCAGCCUGACAUUGGUUUUACGCAGCAGUGCCUCUUGUGAGAGGCUGUGCUCUAGUUCUUUGAGUGUGCGCUCUGAUUUCUGCCUUGUAAACCUCUUUACGCCUCUCACCGGUGCAUCCUGAAAGUUCUUUGCGAUGAAAGUCAAUGGACCUGUACCUGCCCUGUGAAUGGGAAGAGUUCAUGUUUCCUAUCUCCACUUUGGGGAACCACCUUGGACUCGGCCUGGUGACAUUUCCUUUGGUGAGCCAGCUCCAGGGAGAUGAAGAGACAUCAGGAUUAUGACACUGACUAUCAAAAGAUGUUGGCUCAUCAAACAACAAAAGCCAUCUUCCUUUGUGUCCUUAGAUCAGUUAGAGUGACAGUUUCGAAACCUGGCUAGGUAGGGUCGGUGCGCCUCCUCCUUGGCCUGAACGAGCCAUAAGAAGAUGGACCUGCAGCUCCCCCUGCCCUCCUUAAGAUUAAGGGAAAAAUUCUGGUGGUGGUGGGAAUGAGUUAAGAUAGAAGAAAUAAAAAUAGUAGAAAGGAGAGAGAGAAAAUCAUCAUUUAAAAAUUGUGCUUUUGAAAAGUCUGCAACUUCAGGACAGUGUAAGUAACCUAAGAUUACCCAUAUCAAUAGUCCUGAGAUGUGUUUUAUACCCCUUUUCUCCCAGGCCCAUCACACCCUAGAUCACUUAAAGAUUCUAUAAAUUGAUAAAUGGGCUAUUAUGGUUGAUACAUUGUGUCAAUUUAAGAAGUUUAACUGAGAGACUCAGCAGGGAGCCAGGAUCCUUACUUUAUAUUCUCGGCCUGUGCAACAGGAGGACACAGAGGUUUUGUGAAUGCUAUACCCUUCCUCGAGUGGAGGAGUUGGGGUGGCCGUGUACAAUAUAAGGGAGGAGAAGAGGCUUGUUUUCCCCUUUUUGCUCUGGCUGCUGCCUUGAAGUAUUGCCCUGGUGCCAUGCCAUCCUGCCCUGGAGUGAGCCAAUUAUGGCCCGAAACCUCCAAAAGCUGUGAGCUAAAUAAACCUUUCCUUCCUUCA
Long non-coding RNA from Cavia porcellus (domestic guinea pig), 1696 nucleotides. RefSeq lists it as uncharacterized. The transcript has 2 exons. NCBI's taxonomy places the organism in Eukaryota, Metazoa, Chordata, Mammalia, Rodentia, Caviidae. The record is from RefSeq and is a predicted model, not a curated record.